UCCCUAGAGGACCAGUGGUUAGGCCACAACGUUCCUACUGCUGCAGCCCGGGUUCGAUUCCCGGCCAGAGAA
Molecule: transfer RNA, 72 nt
Filed under: Pangasianodon gigas (Mekong giant catfish)
Lineage: Eukaryota; Metazoa; Chordata; Actinopteri; Siluriformes; Pangasiidae
Description: tRNA-Arg
Rfam family: tRNA
About the family: Transfer RNA (tRNA) molecules are approximately 80 nucleotides in length.
Source: RNAcentral